AUGGACGCGCGCAGGACCGUGGUGGUGUCCGGCGUCCCCGACCUGCUGCCCGGCCACAGGAUGCGGGACAAGCUGACGGUCCACUUCCAGAGCCGCCGGCGCAGCCGCGGGGGCGACGUCGACGCGGUGGAGUUUCCCACGGACGUGCGUGGGCUCGCGUUCGUCACCUUCGACCGCGCUGCAGACGCGGAGGCGGUGGCGCUGAAGGAGCAGCAGAUCCUGACGGACGCCGCGUUUCCUGAGGAACACGCCCUCACCGUGUUCCCCUUCACCACGGAUGUGAGUCCAGCUGCCGUUAGAGCCCCCUCCUCUCCACAUCGAACCACGCACGGCGCUGAUUCGGGCCUUUUUCUUGUGCUGCAGGUGUUCUUCUACGUCUCCGGCGCCACCGUGGAUCUCUCCAUGUUCGACGGGGACCAGGCGUCGCUGAUUCAGAGUCUGCGGUCCGCUCACAGGUCGCUGCGGUUCCAGGUUCUGCCCCGUGAGAGGAAAGCCCUCGUUGAGGGGCCUUUCUCUGCCAUCAGGGCCCUGAGAGCGGACCUCGUGAGCAGAACCGGCCGGCUUAAACCCAGUGUCAAACCUGGAGCGUUGCCUCCUAAUCCCAGGGUAAUAUCUCAUCACCAGUCCGUCGGGCCCGUGAGCCGCAGCGAUUCUGGCGCUAGGCGGGAACCGGGGGGCUCAAACGGCUUAUCGGCGCCGCUGCAGAGCGCAGGUGAGCGGAGCGAAGUCCAAAGCCGGCGCUCACAGGCAAAAAGUCCAACCUCUGCCAGACAGAGCGCGCACAGCUUCUAUGACACAGGCUCUGAGGCAGAGGAGGCGCCGAAGGCUGGGUCCCGGCCCAGACUGACCUCGGGACGCGGCGCCGGGCCAGCACAGGCCGCAGCCACGCGGCGGUACCGAGAGGCGGAGGACGGGCCAAAGCGGCCACCGGUGGACGGCGCCGUUCAGAAACACACCCCAGCAGACUGGGCUCCAGCCACUAAGACCAGAACCCGCCUGGACUGGCCUGGACCCGAGAGCCCACUGAAAGAGGUGUCAUCGUCCUACGCGUAUGAGGACCAUCCACAGGAUACUUGCAUCUGGGUUGACUCAUAUAUUUUCAGGUAUAUAGAAAAAUUUGAUAAACAAUACAAAAAAUACCUAAGAGGUCUAAGUGCAUCAGUCGAGGAAGCUGAAGGGUCCGAUCUGGUUCAAAUACGUUUGGCUGGGACGGAUCCCUGUGAGGGCCCGGCCCGGGUCCAGGAGGCCUUGGCCAGGCUGAACUCUUUGGUGGAGCUCUGGCAGUGGAAGUUGAGGGUCUACGAGAUAUGUUACAACAACAAGAAGCAUCCGAAAGAGAAAGUGAUGCACAUCUGUAAUGAUGUGGAAGUGAGAAACAAAUAUGACAACGUUCUUUACAUGGUUGACGAGACGAAGGUGAAGAUUGUCGGCUCUUUAUCAUGCAGUUACCUUUUUUAUUUCACAGUGAAGCAAAGACUAGAGUGCGAUUCAAUUUGAAAUAGAUGUAGUUCUCUUGGUGUCCACAGGGUGGCGCAGGUUUUCAGAAAACCGGCUGCAUUGGUGUAUCGUCAAAUUUAGCGUACGUACCUGUAUUUUAUUGGUUAGUAGGCUUAUUAAAGCCGCAGUGGCGAAUGUUAUUGCAUCUGAUCUCUCUGAAAAGAGUAGUAAAAGAAAAAGUAUUCUAUGCUUCUGUUUUGCCUCUAUAUAAGGUAUUUGUUUAAUUUGUACCUGACAAUAAUAACAAAUUCUGAUCUUUUUCUAGAGUUGUUGUGUUUUUUUUUUCACAUUUUUUAUUGUUAUUGUAAGACAUUAAGUCAUGGCCUCAUACAUCGCAGACGCUUUUUAAAGGACAAUAAAAUUCCGCUGCGGCCAGACUCGUGCGCCCUC
Molecule: long non-coding RNA, 1887 nt
Organism: Betta splendens (Siamese fighting fish)
Lineage: Eukaryota; Metazoa; Chordata; Actinopteri; Anabantiformes; Osphronemidae
Product: RNA binding motif protein 43
Source: Ensembl